Molecule: ribosomal RNA, 497 nt
Filed under: uncultured bacterium
Lineage: Bacteria
Description: partial 16S ribosomal RNA
Rfam family: Bacterial small subunit ribosomal RNA
Source: RNAcentral
GAUGAACGCUGGCGGCGUGCCUAAUACAUGCAAGUCGAGCGAACAGACGAGGAGCUUGCUCCUCUGACGUUAGCGGCGGACGGGUGAGUAACACGUGGAUAACCUACUUAUAAGACUGGGAUAACUUCGGGAAACCGGAGCUAAUACCGGAUAAUAUAUUGAACCGCAUGGUUCAAUAGUGAAAGACGGUUUUGCUGUCACUUAUAGAUGGAUCCGCGCCGCAUUAGCUAGUUGGUAAGGUAACGGCUUACCAAGGCAACGAUGCGUAGCCGACCUGAGGGGGUGAACCGCCACACUGGAACUGAGACACGGUCCAAGCUCCUAAGGGAGGCAGCAGUAGGGAAUCUUCCGCAAUGGGCGAAAGCUUGACGGAACAACGCCGCGGGAGUGAUGAAGGUCUUCGGAUCGUAAAACUCUGUUAUUAGGGAAGAACAAAUGUGUAAGUAACUAUGCACGUCUUGACGGUACCUAAUCAGAAAGCCACGGCUAACUACGUG